RNAcentral lists this long non-coding RNA (1578 nucleotides) under Homo sapiens (human). RNAcentral describes it as "HSALNT0225433". The record is from RNAcentral. Lineage: Eukaryota; Metazoa; Chordata; Mammalia; Primates; Hominidae.
CCUCCCCUUGAGUGGUUCUGUGAUUUGUUUCUAAGCCUUAGAAUAUGGCACAGAUGAUGGGAUAUUAAUUUUGGGAUAAUGUUACAUGAGGCUGUAACUUUCCUCUUGCUCAUUUUGCUUGCAAACUCUAUUGACUCUCCCUGAGCAGGCUCUGAGGAAGUAAACCUCUUUAUGGAGAAGCCCAUGUGACAAGGAACUGAAGGUGGCCUCCAGCCAACAGCCCUCGGUAAGGAAGUGAAUCCUGCCCAUGACACAUGAGCUUGAAGGUGGAUUCUUUCACAGUCGAGUCUCAGAAGAUACUCCAGCCCUGCCAACACCUUCACUGUGGCACCAGAGACCCUGAGCCAGAGGACCCAGAUAAGUCAUGCCCAGAUUCCUGCUCAACAGUAAUGGUGAACUGGAGAUGUAACGACUUCCUUUUUUGUCUUGGAAGAUUCCUAAAUGUCAUUGAGAGACCCAAGACGUCUCAAUCUCACUUAAUGCAAACGGAAAACCAAGGGUUUUUAAAGGUGAAAUGGAUCUUGCUAAUGAAGAAGUAUCACUCUUCGUGGGGCAUGCAGCUUGUUAGUUCAAGUUAGAAUUCUGGGCAGUAGGCGUGUGCCAAGCUGCAAGACUUUUUCUCCUCCUAAAUGAAUCGUGCAGUAAAUUGGGCAUUUGGAUCUUUCCCUUGUGAAGCUAUCUCACAAGUUUGACUGUUGACAUCUUGGGAAACAGUAUCCUACUGGAUAUGGUUGGAGACACCCUGCUUUGGAGAGAUGAUGAUGAGUAUGAAUAUAGUAAAUAAGUCAUAGAUAGACAGUCCGAUGGAAUAUAGUAAAUAAGUCAUAGAUAGACAGUCCGAUGUCACGCGCUGACACUUUUAAUAAUAGUGCCCUCCUCUAGGGCUACUGUGAAGCCUAAAUGAGCUAAGUAAUAUAAAGUACUUACACCAGUGUUUGGCAUAUACAAAUAUUUAAUAAACUUUGUCAUUGCAUCAUCAUUAUUAUUAGAACAGAGUGGAGACUCACCCGUUCUACUGGCAACUGGAGUUUGUUCAAGAAAUACCUGAGUUGGUUCUUUAACUGUCGAGUUCGAUUGUCCAAGUGGAAGGGUGGGAGUCUCAGGGGAGAGCAUGCCAGGCAGAAGAAACAGCACAAGCAGACAUCCGGGGACAUGAACCAGCAGUAAAGCAGGGGUCCAUACAUUUAGAUAGAGUAUGAGUAGAUCAAUGCUCAAAAACUAUCCUAAAACUAAAAGAAGAUUGGAAUAUCAAUCAUACACCACACACCUCCUUGCAGCUCCUUUACAAAAGUCCCUGGGGAACAAGUUGCUUCAGUUCAUGGCAUCAAUACCCAAGGCUCAUUAUUAAAUACUAUUGUAGUGAUGCUUCAAAUUAAAUCUAGAUAUUAUUCACUGCCACAUCUCUUCCCAAACUUAUUAUUUCCAGGAAAACUCUUAAGCAACAAAUUCAGUGAAUUGGUACAACCACCAUGUUUACUGACACUUUCUAGAAGCUCUACCUUCUCAAAUGUUCUUACCGAUAUGACAUUUUUAGUAUAAAAUACCAACACUUAAGGCAAAGGAAAUUCCUACUGUUUG